AUCUUCCUCACCUCAAUAAUACUCAAAGUACUACACUCCUACAGUAACUCCUUUUCACCACCCAAAGAAGCUGGCAAUGGCAUGGUCUCCUUCACCGUUUGUUAGUUUUCUUCUCCCUCUUGUCUUGUUCCACAAUUUGAAAUGAAUGCAUAUGAUAUGUGAGAUACUCCAUUUGUAUCAAGAAAUUCCUUACUUGAUUUUCACCCCCAACCACACAAUGAAAGGUAAUAUUCAACACUUGUUUUACCUAAAUUAAAAUUUUACCUAUGUUUUGUUUUUGGAUUUUUCUUCUUCUUAUCGAUCUAUUUAUUUACUGAAAAAUAAAUUACUUGUUUUUGUUGGAUUUAUUUUGGAAAAAGUUGGCAAGGGAAAACAAAGUACAAUGUUUUCUUCAACCUGGUAACGAUUUUAUUAACUCAUGUUCCAAAAAAAAUUAAAAAAGAGUUGAGAAAUCUGUCAGACAACCGUGUGACCAACCCAACCAGACUAUGCUGACUUGGGAACGAUCAUCUACAAUAUCUUAUGAUGAAUCCCGUAGGAUGUCAUCACAGAACCGUUAAUCACGCUCUGAUCACACGAUCAUAAUUCAUCGUCCAGAAUUUUUGUUCCUGUCUCCUUAGAAAUCAAGGACACAGUAGUACGAUCCUAUAGAACAGAUCCUGUUCAAGUAAGGUCGUGACUAUCACUCUUUUCGUGUCGCUUAUAAACACUUGUUUCUACCUUUGCGCUAACGAUGUGGGACUAUAUUUAACGUUUCUACUACUUUCCAGACCGUGCUUUAUGUCUUUUAUUGUCACCUGUUAUUUAUUGUCGCGUGUUGUACAAUCUAAGCUCAUCAAUUUUGCAUAACGUUUGAUGAUUUUUUCUAUACUCAUUGUUGCCAAACUAUAUCUAUUUCUGAAAUUCUUUGAAUCUUUUAAAACUGACUUUAAAAUUAGUAGCUAAAUGAUGCAAUUAGACAAAUGUAGGUUUCAUCAUAAGAUUACAAGAAUUUUAAGGUUACAAACAACUUUAAGAAAAUGCUUUUGUAAGCAUAUCAGCCAGCAGGAAUAUCUUUUGUGCCAAUCUUCUCAGUAGUUUUGCACUGACUUACUAUUGCAGGCAACUAGCAUGUCAUAUACAUAGAGGAGCAAGUAGACAAUAUUUCCAUUCUUAGCACUUUUCCAGUACACACAAUUAUCAGAUAAUUACACCUAUUAAAGCCUAGCUUUAACAUAAAACUGUCAAAUCGUAUAUAUCACUGUCUAGGUGACUGCUUUAGCCCGUAUAAGGAUCUCUUCAACAAACACGCCUUUUCUUUUUCACCCUCCUUGACAAACCCCUCAGGCCGUACAUCUUACGGUUCCAGCUCCAUGUCUUCUUGAGCAACCAAUCUAAACCCUCAUUCUCAAUCCUUAAUGAUGCAUAUUUGGAGGUGAGCUCACUAUAAUUUGAAUUGUGUUUUCUCUUUUUCAACUCUGUUCGUCACGUGUCAAAACAUCAAAUUUUGGAUUAUAUAUGCGGUUGUUCUAUUAUGGCAGCCUACUAAAAGGACGUGUCAUCAGUAGUAUGUAAUGUGGCUUGGGUUUUCAAUUCUAAAGUGAAUCUUAAGGAUAUGCAAAAUCUCUUUAGGACUGUUAAUCUUUAGCUGUUUGCAUCUUAUCAUCUAUGUAAGGUCUAUAAACUCGUCGAAAAACAAAAGUAUACAAUACAACUUUCACUAUAUUCAAUCGCAUAAUCUUAACAUAAUCAGUUAACCAUACAAGUUGUAUGUUAUUCUAUGUUUUUGGCCGGAUCAACUAUUAUACACUAAAUCAUUUGAUAGCAGAUAGUCCCUUUCUCUUUUGUGAAAAUAUCAAUCUUAUUUUCUUUGCUUCAACAACAGGUUUUUAUCUCAUGGCAAUGCUUAUUUGUUAAAGAUAGUAUGAGAAUUGAGAAGUAGUUUUCAUCAUUUAGGCGCCAACGUAUUGUAUCAAAAUUUAUCUCACUAUUUUAACCUGAUCAAUGGUUUCAUAUUUGAAACGCGUGGAAUUAUGAAAUGCCUAUUAUUCUCUAUUACCUUCGAGUCCUCUUUGUGUCAUUUGUUUGUUGUCCAUACUUUUCUAUCAUCACACUUUAGUUGAAGUGCACUUCUAUAUCAGUUGGAACACUGGUACUAAAUAUAUACAUGUGAUUAUAGAACAAAUCCUGUUCAAGUAAGGUCUCUCCAUGUCUUAAUAUAAACGUUCAGACAAAGCUUAUACCAAAUGUGAGAUUCAUUUGAUGCCAACACUGCUUUUGUAAAUGAAGUUCCGACUUCAGUUUAAACAGGAUUUUGUGAUGCCAAUCAUCAUAGUUUCGCAAACCUUUUUAAUCUAUAUUUUUUUCUGAAUCUUUUCAAAUAUGUUUUGAGGUAAAAUGAUGUCACGAGUGUUAGCAUGACCUCAUAUCGAAGUAACAGGAUGGGAAGAGCUUGAUGAUAGUUGUUAAAAGAAAAACAAAAUUAAGCAUGUUUAAUUUAAUCUGUUUGAUAACUAUUUCUUUACUUGAUCUCUCAAGUGUACAUAUAUUUUGUUUUGGUAUGAUUGCAACCAUAACCAAUUCAAAUUGCCAGGUCAUAACAACUGGUUCAAUAUGGAUUGAUGGUGUUUGCCCUAAUGGGGGGCAUGAUUUGGUUAUCACAAGAACAAAAUUGAAGAAACAGAUACUGCCUUAAAAAAGUUUGUAGUUUGUAUCUUAAUCCCAUAUUUGCAACUAUUUUUUCCCCAUUUUUCUUGGUUGAAC
RNAcentral lists this long non-coding RNA (2742 nucleotides) under Trifolium pratense (red clover). RNAcentral's name for it is "long non-coding RNA (TPRA_LNC002995)". Lineage: Eukaryota; Viridiplantae; Streptophyta; Magnoliopsida; Fabales; Fabaceae. The record is from RNAcentral.